Molecule: ribosomal RNA, 58 nt
Filed under: Florenciella parvula
Lineage: Eukaryota; Dictyochophyceae; Florenciellales
Description: partial Bacterial small subunit ribosomal RNA
Source: RNAcentral
AUGAAGAGUUUGAUCCUGGCUCAGGAUGAACGCUAGCGGCAGGCCUAACACAUGCAAG